GUUGUACGAUAUGAUGGCGCUGAGG
This 25-nucleotide non-coding RNA is filed under the name Cricetulus griseus (Chinese hamster). Lineage: Eukaryota; Metazoa; Chordata; Mammalia; Rodentia; Cricetidae. The record is from RNAcentral.